GGAGUUGUAGCUCAGUGGUAGAGUGCUUGCCUCGCAUGCAUGAGGCUCUGGGUUCGAUCCUCAGCACCA
This 69-nucleotide transfer RNA is filed under the name Marmota marmota marmota (Alpine marmot). It matches the Rfam family "tRNA". From Rfam's summary of the family: Transfer RNA (tRNA) molecules are approximately 80 nucleotides in length. Their secondary structure includes four short double-helical elements and three loops (D, anti-codon, and T loops). RNAcentral also lists the same sequence under 1 other name. The record is from Rfam by way of RNAcentral. Lineage: Eukaryota; Metazoa; Chordata; Mammalia; Rodentia; Sciuridae.